CUAAUUUCCUCCACCACCACUAGUUAUCCAUGUUCAUUGCUGCCUGACACCCAACACUGGCCUGCAAGGGCACCAGGAACGGAUGGAAGAGACAGGGUGCCUGGGGAAGGGUGACAGGCAAGGGCCUCACACACUUCAGAGGGAAUUCACACCCACAUGAUGAGGCUGAGAGGAGCAGGACGCACAGACGCACGGCAGGCACCAGGAGAGCCAGGCUGCUCUGCUCUGCGGGGGAUCCAUGUGCUGUCCCCCUCUGUCUCUUGACUUUAUUUUCCACCAGGAGAGCACCUCCCUUAGUACCCUUGGGAGGGAAAGCUCACAACUCCUCACAGCGAUCUGGUAUUUUGAGCUUCAGUUUCUGGCCGAAACUGGGGGCUCCUGACGGAGUUCCCUCCCACCUAGAAAACCUUUCGUGCAGUCUGAUUGCUCCAACACCCACAGAGCAGGAUUCAGGCUGGGAGGCACCCCUAGGUACCCGGCUCCUCAUCACAGCAGCAGCCCUCUCGGUUCCACAUCUGGUUCUCCUGCCGAAGCC
Macaca mulatta (Rhesus monkey) is the source of this 535-nucleotide non-coding RNA. NCBI's taxonomy places the organism in Eukaryota, Metazoa, Chordata, Mammalia, Primates, Cercopithecidae. The record is from RefSeq and is a predicted model, not a curated record.